This 1543-nucleotide long non-coding RNA is filed under the name Salmo salar (Atlantic salmon). RNAcentral describes it as "lncRNA (ENSSSAG00000094457.1)". Lineage: Eukaryota; Metazoa; Chordata; Actinopteri; Salmoniformes; Salmonidae. The record is from RNAcentral.
UCGUGCUCUCUCCCGGCAUCUCAUGUCUCCUGACAAUGAGGAGAGACAGAGCAUCGCUCAGGCAGUUAGGGCUGCUGGCUGAUUAGAGAAAAGAGGAGAGAAAGAGAGAGGAGAGAAGGAGAGAAAAACUUGAGAAGGAGAGAGAGGAGAUAAGGAGAGAGAGGAGAGAAGUUGGGAGAGUGGAGAGAAACUCGAGAAGGAGAGAGGGAGAUAAGGAGAGAGAGAGAGAGAGAGAGAGAGAGAGAAGGAGACAAGGAGACAAGGAGACAAGGAGAGAGGGAGAGAAGGAAAGAGGGAGAGAGAGGAGAGAGAGAGAGGAGAGAAGGACAGAGAGAGAGAGAGAGAGAGAGAGAGAGAGAGAGAGAGGAGAGAAGUAGAGAGAGGAGAGAAGGAGAGAGAGGAGAGAGAGAGAGUGGGGGGAGAGAGAGGAGAGAGAGAGAAGAUAAGGAGGAAGCCAUUUCAGAUCAGUCAUGUUUUGGCCUUUGAACAGAGUUUUAAUUGGAUGAAUGAACCGGAUCAGAGAAGCAACCAGCCAAUGACUGAGAAACAGUAUCUUUGAGUGAGGCAGGCCUGAAUACUGGGUGAACAAGAACACACAGAGAGAGAGAGAGUUUACAAUGGACACGUGGCUAGCGGUGAUCACACCCCAUGCCAAGAAUAUUACACGCCACAUAGGGAAAGAUGGAAAAAACCUUGGUUGGAAAAUUUAUAGUGGCCACUACAGAUGUAGGAUCUUAAUUUGAUCGUCCUGUUGUUCCAGCACAGCAGGAAAUGCAAACUGUUAGUGUAUUCGAGGUUUUAAAAAGGCUUCUAAACAAUGUAAAUUCCACUUUAACACUUCACAAAAAACUAUCAGCCCUUCCAUUAAUUAUAAUCCACACACUAAUUCACAUUUCCGGUUGCUGCAGGAUUAUUUCCCUGCUGUGAGAAACGUGUCGAAUUAAGAUCCUGUAUAUGUAUGUCACGGCUGUCGUAGGAAGAAGAGGACCAAAGUGCAGCGUGUGUGUCGUUCCACAUUUUAUUUAUACUGUGGAAACUACGCGAUACAUAAAAACACUGAAUGAAAAAAAAUAAAAUAAACUGUGACGCAGCGAUGAACACAUACACAACUCAAAAUUAAUCUCCCACAAAACCCAGGUGGAAAAAAAACCCUACUUAAGUAUGAUCUCCAAUUAGAGACAACGAGGACCAGCUGACUCUAAUUGGAGAUCAUCCCAAACAAAAACCCCAACAUAGAAAUACAAAACUAGAACCUAAACAUAGAAAUAGAAAACAUAGAAAAAACACCCCCUGUCACGCCCUGAACUACUCUACCAUAGAAAAUAACAUCUUACUAGGAUCAGGACGUGCCAAUGUAGCUGGUACAUAUAGAUAUGAUCAUCAGGAAAACAGUUUAGCAACCAGGGCAGAGAAACAGGAACAUGAGUUCACCGGAGUAACUGACUACCAGACCUGGAACAGAGACAGUAACUGACUAGCAGACCUGGAACAGAGACAGUAACUGACUAGCAGACCUGGAACAGAGACAGUAACUGACUAGCAG